This 198-nucleotide unclassified non-coding RNA is filed under the name uncultured fungus. Its description in RNAcentral is "sequence contains ITS1". The record is from RNAcentral. Lineage: Eukaryota; Fungi.
GUAAUUAUUUUGGUUUGUUUCAGAAGGUUUGAUACUUUAUAAAAAAGGGUUUAUGGUGUCCCCAAGGCGGGUGGCCGCCGAGGGAAAUAACAAUAGGUAUACAUAGACAAGGGUGGCGUUGCCUGACCCCGCAAGGGUUGCCCCCCACGAAGCCAUAAGCAAGCAGUAAUGAUCCUUCCGCAGGUUCACCUACGGAAA